Molecule: ribosomal RNA, 746 nt
Filed under: uncultured cyanobacterium
Lineage: Bacteria; Bacillati; Cyanobacteriota
Description: bacterial SSU rRNA
Rfam family: Bacterial small subunit ribosomal RNA
Source: RNAcentral
GCUUAGAGUUUGAUCCUGGCUCAGGAUGAACGCUGGCGGUAUGCCUAACACAUGCAAGUCGAACGAAGUCUUCGGACUUAGUGGCGGACGGGUGAGUAACGCGUGAGAACCUGCCUCCAGGCUGGGGACAACAGUUGGAAACGACUGCUAAUACCCAAUGUGCCGAAAGGUGAAAGAUUUAUCACCUGGAGAGGGGCUCGCGUCCGAUUAGCUAGUUGGUGGGGUAAGAGCCUACCAAGGCGUCGAUCGGUAGCUGGUCUGAGAGGAUGAGCAGCCACACUGGGACUGAGACACGGCCCAGACUCCUACGGGAGGCAGCAGUGGGGAAUUUUCCGCAAUGGGCGAAAGCCUGACGGAGCAAUACCGCGUGAGGGAGGAAGGCUUUUGGGUUGUAAACCUCUUUUCUUAAGGAAGAGGAUCUGACGGUACUUAAGGAAUCAGCAUCGGCUAACUCCGUGCCAGCAGCCGCGGUAAUACGGAGGAUGCAAGCGUUAUCCGGAAUUAUUGGGCGUAAAGCGUCCGCAGGUGGCCUUUCAAGUCUGCUGUCAAAGACCAGAGCUCAACUCUGGGCCGGCGGUGGAAACUGGGAGGCUAGAGUACGGUAGGGGUAGAGGGAAUUCCCAGUGUAGCGGUGAAAUGCGUAGAGAUUGGGAAGAACACCAGUGGCGAAGGCGCUCUACUGGACCGAAACUGACACUCAGGGACGAAAGCUAGGGGAGCGAAAGGGAUUAGAUACCCCUGUAGUC